Molecule: transfer RNA, 83 nt
Filed under: Pleurotus eryngii
Lineage: Eukaryota; Fungi; Basidiomycota; Agaricomycetes; Agaricales; Pleurotaceae
Description: tRNA-Asp
Rfam family: tRNA
About the family: Transfer RNA (tRNA) molecules are approximately 80 nucleotides in length. Their secondary structure includes four short double-helical elements and three loops (D, anti-codon, and T loops).
Source: RNAcentral
UCUCUGUUAGUAUAUCGGUUAGUACACGCGCCUGUCAUUUGUCAGGCUCGCGCGAAAGCUGGGUUCGACUCCCAGACAGAGAG